This 421-nucleotide ribosomal RNA is filed under the name uncultured eukaryote. Its description in RNAcentral is "bacterial SSU rRNA". It matches the Rfam family "Eukaryotic small subunit ribosomal RNA", at positions 592 to 1018 of the family's 1831-position model. The record is from RNAcentral.
CAAUAGCGUAUAUUAAAGUUGUUGCAGUUAAAAAGCUCGUAGUCGGAUUUUGGCAUCAUGCCGAACUGUCAGCCGAUUGGUUUGUACGGUUUGGCGGGUGCUCUCCUUCCGGAGGCUCGUUUCCUCUUUCAUUAGAGGGUUCGAUGGUUCCGGGUCUUUUACUUUGAAAAAUUAGAGUGUUCAAAGCAGGCCUAUGCUCUGAAUAGGUUAGCAUGGAAUAAUAAAAUAGGACCUUGGUACUAUUUUGUUGGUUUGCGUACCUAGGUAAUGAUUAAUAGGGACAGUUGGGGGUAUUCGUAUUCAAUUGUCAGAGGUGAAAUUCUUGGAUUUAUGGAAGACGAACUACUGCGAAAGCAUUUACCAAGGAUGUUUUCAUUAAUCAAGAACGAAAGUUAGGGGAUCGAAGACGAUUAGAUACCAU